Molecule: long non-coding RNA, 491 nt
Organism: Hippocampus comes (tiger tail seahorse)
Lineage: Eukaryota; Metazoa; Chordata; Actinopteri; Syngnathiformes; Syngnathidae
Exons: 3
Source: RefSeq, a predicted model, not a curated record
CGAAAUGUUAUUUUUUUUAUCCAGAAAUUUAGAUGUUUUAUCUUUGAAGGACAUUGGCUCUCUACGAAUUUCCAGUCCGUACAUGUUAACUUCAUUUUAGGAUUCUUUUUAUCCGUGGUCUUACUAUUUAGUGUCCCCAUUUUGCAAAUUUGAGAGUCAGCGGUUUACCUAGGGUAACUAUGCUGACUUUUCCCUUGAACAGGGUGACAAUUUCUCCGACUGAGGUAAUUUCCAACCUUCUACCUCCCAAGUGUACCAAAGUAUACCAAAGUGGCGGGAAAUUCUUGCAUCUGCUUCCUCAGACAGUUGCCACACAAAAUGUCCUGUUCGAAUGAGGUAGCAAACCUCCACUCACACAGUUACACAGUCACUCAUUAAGCGCAUUUUAUUCGAUUACAUUCAACCUCGGUACCAUUCUCAUACACACUCUAUUUACACGCGGAGUUUAAGCACGUACAGGACACCGCCGCUACGUACAGGACACCGCCACC